Molecule: long non-coding RNA, 698 nt
Organism: Capra hircus (goat)
Lineage: Eukaryota; Metazoa; Chordata; Mammalia; Artiodactyla; Bovidae
Exons: 4
Source: RefSeq, a predicted model, not a curated record
UCCCCAGGUUGUUGCUCAGACAGUCAAACCACAGCCUCCUCCUCUACCUGGCAAUUAAUCCUGCUGUGCCCUGAAACCUGGGUUGGGUCUUACUCUGCCAGGUACUGAAGCAAGAAGAGACGGGCCGCCAGGCGUGUUAUCGCUUGUCUCUGGGGCAGAGAGGCGGUUGCGACAGAGCCCCUGCAUGCGUGUGGACGUGCCUGCAUGGAGCGAACUUCUGUGCUGCUUUGGAACAAGAACCAGUUCUGUGAUGCCUGGUCUGUUAAGGUCAAACAAAUAGGUCUGGACGUCUCUUCUGCCUCAGACUCCACCUACUCAAUCCUCCUUCAUUAGAUGAGCACACCAAGACAGAGGUUUAGUAUCUUGCCAGAAAUCGAGAGGAGAAGCGAGGAAUAAGACCAGCUCUGGCUCCCCACAGCUUUCGAUGGUACUGAGUGGUGCACCCUUGGACCCUGAUGGUGUGGGCAAUUCUCCCAUAGGUCUGGCCCGAGUCUCUCCUGCUCUUGUCUGAAUUGGAUCAGAUGGAAGGACCAUGUCAGUAGGUUGGUUCUGCUCCCAACCCAGCCUCAAGAGACAUCACCCAUCCCUUGGUACAGGCGGUAGCCUUCCAGUUACUGGGGUGGGGAAUGUUUGCCUUCUGUUAAUGAAAAGAAAUAGAUGUGAUAAUAAAUAAAUGCCCAACCCAGUGCAGCAAUCGA